RNAcentral lists this ribosomal RNA (725 nucleotides) under Raoultella sp. RNAcentral's name for it is "bacterial SSU rRNA". It matches the Rfam family "Bacterial small subunit ribosomal RNA", at positions 28 to 741 of the family's 1533-position model. Lineage: Bacteria; Pseudomonadati; Pseudomonadota; Gammaproteobacteria; Enterobacterales; Enterobacteriaceae. The record is from RNAcentral.
AUUGAACGCUGGCGGCAGGCCUAACACAUGCAAGUCGAGCGGUAGCACAGGAGAGCUUGCUCUCCGGGUGACGAGCGGCGGACGGGUGAGUAAUGUCUGGGAAACUGCCUGAUGGAGGGGGAUAACUACUGGAAACGGUAGCUAAUACCGCAUAACGUCGCAAGACCAAAGUGGGGGACCUUCGGGCCUCAUGCCAUCAGAUGUGCCCAGAUGGGAUUAGCUAGUAGGUGGGGUAAUGGCUCACCUAGGCGACGAUCCCUAGCUGGUCUGAGAGGAUGACCAGCCACACUGGAACUGAGACACGGUCCAGACUCCUACGGGAGGCAGCAGUGGGGAAUAUUGCACAAUGGGCGCAAGCCUGAUGCAGCCAUGCCGCGUGUAUGAAGAAGGCCUUCGGGUUGUAAAGUACUUUCAGCGAGGAGGAAGGCAUUAAGGUUAAUAACCUUAGUGAUUGACGUUACUCGCAGAAGAAGCACCGGCUAACUCCGUGCCAGCAGCCGCGGUAAUACGGAGGGUGCAAGCGUUAAUCGGAAUUACUGGGCGUAAAGCGCACGCAGGCGGUUUGUUAAGUCAGAUGUGAAAUCCCCGGGCUCAACCUGGGAACUGCAUUUGAAACUGGCAAGCUUGAGUCUUGUAGAGGGGGGUAGAAUUCCAGGUGUAGCGGUGAAAUGCGUAGAGAUCUGGAGGAAUACCCGGUGGCGAAGGCGGCCCCCUGGACAAAGACU